GUUUUCUCUGUCCAGAGACAACCCGAGCAGUUGGCUGGUUCACCUUCUACAAUGAGAAACGGCCACUCAUCAACACACAGAGUCUUGUCAUCCCCCUCCGGUUGAGCAAACUGCAAAGACAUAGUAAGAAUUAUAUGUACAUUACAAUUGAGAAAUGGAAACCCAAAAUUACACUUUCUUAAAGGGAACUUAGAGAAAAUAUCAAAAGAAUAGAGAACCGCACUCUAUUCACUGAAUGUGUUUAAUCAUUACAUGUUGUAUGCAAAUUACCUUGCUCGAAUGCACAAAGACGCUGCCCUCCAGAGUGGCUGGCACAGCAGCUUCUGGAACAGGUCGAGGAGGAGGUAAGCCCUCCAGAGUAGCUGGUACAGCAGCUUCUGGAACAGGUCGAGGGGGAGGUACCAGCUUCGAAGGUUUGGCAAUCCUUGCUGGAGUUUGAAGUGCCUGGAAAAUAAUUGUAAAUCAUUGGCAAAACAAUACCUACACAGAGAAUGUUGGACUAUCUCUUGUGUUAAAGGCGAAAUCAGAAAAUAGUUGUUCCUGUGUUUCAACCAAAAAACAAGUACAUAUUUCACUGAGAAAUUACCAACCUCAAGGCGGGCCUUCUUUCCUUUGGAGACCACAGCCGUGGUUCCAUGUGCCACCUUCCGUUUCUAUCAUAAUGGAAGAGAACGGAAAUGAUAACAGUUAAUGAAAUAUAACACUUUUAUCAAUGCAACUAUCUGUACCAUACAAUGUAAAGCUUGUCAUAUAGGAUUACAGGCGCUAUUAAUAUGUAUGCACUCACAAACAGUUAAUAUUAAAAUCACACAAAUUACCUUUGAGCGAUUCCCCAUGGUAGCAUACAUGGGGACGUCAAGGUUGGAUGGAACAAUGCGAUCCAUUGCAGCCAACUUGUCAGUGCUAAACCGGAUAGGGUUUAGCACGACAAAGCACUCCCUCAGGACCUGAGGAGGCACACAAACCUAGAAAUAAAAAACAGAAUUGAGCCAUUGACCAUUUGCCUUGUCUAAUAGGAAUAGCAUUUAAAUGAAACAACAAAUGUACGCAUCAUUACGGUUUGAUUUCCUUUCAGCUAUCAUACCAAUGUACAAACCUCAUGAGGAAGGAUCCGCACGGAAGACUGAUCCCAGUCCUCAGGCGCAUCCCAGGACUCAGUUUCCUUGAAGGGGUCAAGGGGACGUGGACGUGAAACUUCUCCCUUCACAACCACGGUAGUAGCAAAGGGUCUCACAGUCGGGGGUGCCUUGGGAGGAGACACAGGCGGAGGUGUAACAGGCAGAGGUGACUGUAGCUGCCGAAAGGAGAAGUGCCACAGAAGCUUCGCGAGAAGCGGCAUCCCCAGAUCGUCACUCAGGUGGAUCUAUUAUAAUGAGAAGCACGGGUUAUUAUUGAAAUAAACUGCUUUUGCCGUAUAAAAAUGACAUGACAUGAAUUUCUCACGUGCCAAGUUAUAACACGACUUACCCCAUCACGACUCCACAAGGCACGUGACUCCAGCGGAAAGCGGUCAGC
This is a long non-coding RNA of Gadus morhua (Atlantic cod), 1515 nucleotides long. RefSeq lists it as uncharacterized. The transcript has 3 exons. The record is from RefSeq and is a predicted model, not a curated record. NCBI's taxonomy places the organism in Eukaryota, Metazoa, Chordata, Actinopteri, Gadiformes, Gadidae.